Molecule: ribosomal RNA, 468 nt
Filed under: uncultured bacterium
Lineage: Bacteria
Description: partial 16S ribosomal RNA
Rfam family: Bacterial small subunit ribosomal RNA
Source: RNAcentral
GACGAACGCUGGCGGCGUGCUUAACACAUGCAAGUCGAACGGAAAGGCCCUGCUUUUGUGGGGUUCUCGAGUGGCGAACGGGUGAGUAACACGUGAGUAACCUGCCCUUGACUUUGGGAUAACUUCAGGAAACUGGGGCUAAUAUCGGAUAGGAGCUCCUGCUGCAUGGUGGGGGUUGGAAAGUUUCGGCGGUUGGGGAUGGACUCGCGGCUUAUGAGCUUGUUGGUGGGGUAGUGGCAGACCAAGGCUUUGACGGGUAGCCGGCAUGAGAGGGUGACCGGCCACCUGAGGACUAAGAUACGGAGCAGUCUCCUACGGGAGGCAGCGGGGGGAAAUCUGGCACAGUGGGCGCGAGCGUGUGACGGCAGCGCCGCGUGCGGGAUGACGGCCUUCGGGUUGUGAACAGCUUUCGCCUGUGACAAAGCGUGAGUGACGGUAAUGGGUAAAGAAGCACCGGCUAACUACGUG